UGCUAUCUGUUCUAGCUUGGUAAAGCCGGG
RNAcentral lists this non-coding RNA (30 nucleotides) under Homo sapiens (human). The record is from RNAcentral. Lineage: Eukaryota; Metazoa; Chordata; Mammalia; Primates; Hominidae.